GACGAACGCUGGCGGCGUGCUUAACACAUGCAAGUCGAACGGAAAGGCCCUGCUUUUGUGGGGUGCUCGAGUGGCGAACGGGUGAGUAACACGUGAGUAACCUGCCCUUGACUUUGGGAUAACUUCAGGAAACUGGGGCUAAUACCGGAUAGGAGCUCCUGCUGCAUGGUGGGGGUGGGAAAGAUUCGGCGGUUGGGGAUGGACUCGCGGCUUAUCAGCUUGUUGGUGGGGUAGUGGCUUACCAAGGCUUUGACGGGUAGCCGGCCUGAGAGGGUGACCGGCCACAUUGGGACUGAGAUACGGCCCAGACUCCUACGGGAGGCAGCAGUGGGGAAUAUUGCACAAUGGGCGGAAGCCUGAUGCAGCAACGCCGCGUGCGGGAUGACGGCCUUCGGGUUGUAAACCGCUUUCGCCUGUGACGAAGCGUGAGUGACGGUAAUGGGUAAAGAAGCACCGGCUAACUACGUG
RNAcentral lists this ribosomal RNA (468 nucleotides) under uncultured bacterium. RNAcentral's name for it is "partial 16S ribosomal RNA". It matches the Rfam family "Bacterial small subunit ribosomal RNA", at positions 28 to 507 of the family's 1533-position model. The record is from RNAcentral.